CCGUUUCUACAAAAAACAAAAAGACAUGAUUAUGCCUUUUAAUCAAAUCUUGAUAUAGAAAUGUCGAAAUGAAUCGUGCUAUCAUAUCAGAAAUUUUUCGAAAUGGGCAGUGGCAAUUCCAGAGAAGUAUCCAAACAGCCUGGUAAAAGUGUUGUAACCCAAGAUACAUACAUUGAUGAAUAUGACGAUAAUUGGUUUGAAAACCAACCCAGCAAAGCUAAUAAAACUAGUAAGACAACAUCAAACGGACAUAUAAUUCACAAAACUGAAACUAACAAUAACGUAGAGGAAAACCAACUGAAGAAUGGAAAUGUUCCUAAAUACCAGAAAGAACGUACCUCUGACAAUAGUAAACACGUUAUUGUUAUUUCAAGCAACAAAACUGCUAAUACUGUUCAUAGAUCAAAAGUUGUAUCACCAAGUACUGUCAUGAAUAUGGUGGAUUUAGAGGAAUAUGACUAAAAAUUAGUUAAUUUACGAUGGAUUCGAUAGCAAUAGUUUUUGUGGAACACCUUGGCCUGGACUCAAUCUUUUGUGACACGCCAUAAUCUACUCUUAGGGUUUGGAUUAUUCCAGGUGACGAUGAAACCAAAUUUGGAAUCAAUUGUUCGGUGUGUUUAUAUACUGAGAAUCCUUUUCACCGCAACCAUUAUUCGAUGUUAUGGGACCAAAUAUCUAAAACUCUAUUCAUUACUUGUGUUCGCUUGUACAUAGCCGGAAGAAGGAGAAUUGUAUAGUGAAAUAUACUUGUCGGUAAAGUUGUGCAUAUUUGUCUUCUGUGACCAGUAUACAAAAGGUACUCGUUUAGAGGUUUACUAUGCAAUACAAACAUUCGCAUACAACUAAGCCAUUUGCAUUUCUUGUAUUUUUAAGUUUAAGAUAAUAAAAAAAAUAAAACUGAAAACCUC
Mytilus californianus (California mussel) is the source of this 908-nucleotide long non-coding RNA. RefSeq lists it as uncharacterized. The transcript is spliced from 2 exons. The record is from RefSeq and is a predicted model, not a curated record. Lineage: Eukaryota; Metazoa; Mollusca; Bivalvia; Mytilida; Mytilidae.